RNAcentral lists this transfer RNA (88 nucleotides) under Verrucomicrobiota bacterium. RNAcentral's name for it is "Verrucomicrobia bacterium tRNA-Ser". It matches the Rfam family "tRNA". Rfam says of the family: Transfer RNA (tRNA) molecules are approximately 80 nucleotides in length. The record is from RNAcentral. Lineage: Bacteria; Pseudomonadati; Verrucomicrobiota.
GGAGGGGUGGCAGAGUGGUCGAAUGCGGCGGUCUUGAAAACCGUUAGGGCGCAAGCCCUCGGGGGUUCGAAUCCCUCCCCCUCCGCCA